GUGAUGGGGUGUGCCGCAUCUGACCUGUGACGACUAACCUCCGGCUGA
RNAcentral lists this small nucleolar RNA (48 nucleotides) under Pyrobaculum neutrophilum V24Sta. RNAcentral describes it as "PNEsR128". Lineage: Archaea; Thermoproteati; Thermoproteota; Thermoprotei; Thermoproteales; Thermoproteaceae. The record is from RNAcentral.